CAUAAACCACCAAUGUAAAUUGCCCAUGUCUAAACCGUUGUCAAAUGUUAAUCAAGUAUUGUGUAAACAAAAUGUCAUGUAUGGCAAGUGAAAUAUGUAACAACCAAACCAUAGGUAAGAAUGCACAAACAAUGUACUAAGUAUGCGAUGGAUGGACAUACAUAGCAUGAUACCAAGUAUAAGAUGUCUUGUAAAACGAUGUACUAAUAUGCACACAAUGGGCAUACAUAGCAUGUGA
RNAcentral lists this long non-coding RNA (238 nucleotides) under Helianthus annuus (common sunflower). RNAcentral's name for it is "sRNA HanXRQr2_Chr03g0096231". The record is from RNAcentral. Lineage: Eukaryota; Viridiplantae; Streptophyta; Magnoliopsida; Asterales; Asteraceae.